Homo sapiens (human) is the source of this 597-nucleotide long non-coding RNA. Ensembl annotates it as long intergenic non-protein coding RNA 1318. Lineage: Eukaryota; Metazoa; Chordata; Mammalia; Primates; Hominidae. The record is from Ensembl.
AUUAGGGAUUCAAUCAAAAAGUAGAAAGCCAGGGCACAAUGUUACUUUGCAAUUUCUCUACAUUCAAAGACUAAAGAGGAUUGAAAGGAACCCAAAAUCUUCUUUACUGCUGGGAUAGACAUUGAUGUCUUCUGUAUGGGUUUAGCAUUAUUCACAAUCGCCAAGAUACAGAAUCAACCUGAGUGCAUCAGUGAAUGAAUGGAUAAAGAAAAUGUGAUAUACAUACACAAUGGAAUACUAUUCAGCCUUAAAAAAGAAGGCAAUCCUGUUAUUUGCAACAACGUGGAGGAACCUGGAAAACAUCACAUUAAGCACAGAAAGACCAACUACUGUAUGAUCUCACUUACCUGUGGAGUCUCAAAAGGUUUAUCUCAUAGAAGUAGAGAAUAGAAUGGUGGUUACCAGGAACUAUGGGUUAGGGAGCUUGAAGAGAUAUUUGUCCAAAGAGACAAAAUUUCAGUUAGAUAGGAGGAAGAGUUUCAAGAUACCUGUUGUAUAGCGUGGUCACUAUACCUAAUAACAGCAUGUUAUAUUCUUGAGAAUGACUAAGAGAAGAUUUCAUAUUCUCACCACAAAAAAUAAGUAUGUGAAGUAAUG